AGACAAGAUAACAGGGAGCGGGGGCUCCCACCGGCGGCGACCUUCGCCUGGACAGCCGUCUCCUGUGGGCGACCUUGGGCCGGCGGCCGGGGCUCCAAGCUUACCUCGGACACGAACGCUGCGCCAGUCUCCAGGCCGCGCUAUACAAGAAGCAUGGCACCAGCAUCUGCUUCUGGUGAACAGCUCAGGCUACUUCCAUUCCUGGUGGAAGGAAAAGGGGAACUGGCAUAUGCAGAGAUGACAUCCAAGAGGGAAAUCAAGAGAGAGAGGUGGGAGGUGCCAGGCUCUUUUUAACAACCAGUUAUCUUGGGAGCUAAUAGAGUAAGAACUCACUGAUACCUACCACCCCCAUCCUCCAUCUCGUCAUGAAGGGUCUGCCCCCAUGGUCCAUAUACCUCUCAUUAGGCCCCGCCGUCAACACUGGGGAUCACAUUUCAACAUGAGACUCAGAGGGGACAUACAAACCGUAUCCAAACUAUACGAGUGGCAAAUCGACAACAUCUACUUGUUCAUUCAAAAGAAAUAGUUGGUUAAAAACAUUAGAUGAUCCAUGGAUGUUUCAGCCUUUUCUUUCACUGACCUGGCGUACUGAAAAGCAAUAAAUUCCUUCCUAACUUAAAUAAAGUAAUGGUGGAUAUGCCUAAGGCCACAAAUC
This is a non-coding RNA of Saimiri boliviensis boliviensis (Bolivian squirrel monkey), 655 nucleotides long. Lineage: Eukaryota; Metazoa; Chordata; Mammalia; Primates; Cebidae. The record is from RefSeq and is a predicted model, not a curated record.